RNAcentral lists this ribosomal RNA (497 nucleotides) under uncultured bacterium. RNAcentral's name for it is "partial 16S ribosomal RNA". It matches the Rfam family "Bacterial small subunit ribosomal RNA", at positions 28 to 507 of the family's 1533-position model. The record is from RNAcentral.
GACGAACGCUGGCGGCGUGCCUAAUACAUGCAAGUUGAGCGCUGAAGGUUGGUACUUGUACCGACUGGAUGAGCAGCGAACGGGUGAGUAACGCGUGGGGAAUCUGCCUUUGAGCGGGGGACAACAUUUGGAAACGAAUGCUGAUACCGCAUAAAAACUUUAAACACAAGUUUUAAGUUUGAAAGAUGCAAUUGCAUCACUCAAAGAUGAUCCCGCGUUGUAUUAGCUAGUUGGUGAGGUAAAGGCUCACCAAGGCGAUGAUACAUAGCCGACCUGAGAGGGUGAUCGGCCACAUUGGGACUGAGACACGGCCCAAAACCCUACGGGAGGCAGCAGGAGGGAAUCUUCGGCAAGGGACGAAAGUCUGACCGAGCAACGCCGGGGGAGUGAAGAAGGUUUUCGGAUCGUAAAACUCUGUUGGUAGAGAAGAACGUUGGUGAGAGUGGAAAGCUCAUCAAGUGACGGUAACUACCCAGAAAGGGACGGCUAGCUACGUG